AGGUCACAUUGCAAUGCCAUCCAUGAGUUGUGUGCACUUGGCAACGGAUUUUCGGGAAAGCUGGCAUGAAAUUUGGUGAUGCGUUCUCCCAAAUGGACUUUAAGCGUCGGAAGCAUGACUCCCACAUGAUAACAGAACCAUCAUAAAGACCUGAUUCCACAAUGGCACAACUUUUGGCGUCGAAUUCCACGUCGACUUUCGACGAACGGGCCUCCUAAACAACACACACCAGCGACCCAGCGACAAAAACAAAUAAAUAAUUCGACCUUCAGCAUCUUGAUCGAAAUAUGUAGAAACACUCCAGUUCAAUCAAAUAGUUAUUACAAUUUUAAAUAAAUUAUAAUUCGAUUUUAAAGUGGAUUUUAUGAAUAAAGUAACAUUUUUAUAAUUUAAAAAUAUAUAUUUUGUAAUUAUUUUUAUGAAGAGCUAUUGGUAGCACCCCUGGUGUCACUGCCUAAGCGUGUUUGCCUAGCCCGCCCAUUUAUUUUGGGUCUGCCGGUUUACAAAAGUGCGUUGUCC
This is a long non-coding RNA of Drosophila ananassae, 519 nucleotides long. RefSeq lists it as uncharacterized. The transcript has 3 exons. The record is from RefSeq and is a predicted model, not a curated record. NCBI's taxonomy places the organism in Eukaryota, Metazoa, Arthropoda, Insecta, Diptera, Drosophilidae.